This 1702-nucleotide ribosomal RNA is filed under the name Escherichia coli. RNAcentral describes it as "partial 23S ribosomal RNA". It matches the Rfam family "Bacterial large subunit ribosomal RNA", at positions 1 to 1746 of the family's 2925-position model. The record is from RNAcentral. Lineage: Bacteria; Pseudomonadati; Pseudomonadota; Gammaproteobacteria; Enterobacterales; Enterobacteriaceae.
GUUAAGCGACUAAGCGUACACGGUGGAUGCCCUGGCAGUCAGAGGCGAUGAAGGACGUGCUAAUCUGCGAUAAGCGUCGGUAAGGUGAUAUGAACCGUUAUAACCGGCGAUUUCCGAAUGGGGAAACCCAGUGUGUUUCGACACACUAUCAUUAACUGAAUCCAUAGGUUAAUGAGGCGAACCGGGGGAACUGAAACAUCUAAGUACCCCGAGGAAAAGAAAUCAACCGAGAUUCCCCCAGUAGCGGCGAGCGAACGGGGAGCAGCCCAGAGCCUGAAUCAGUGUGUGUGUUAGUGGAAGCGUCUGGAAAGGCGCGCGAUACAGGGUGACAGCCCCGUACACAAAAAUGCACAUGCUGUGAGCUCGAUGAGUAGGGCGGGACACGUGGUAUCCUGUCUGAAUAUGGGGGGACCAUCCUCCAAGGCUAAAUACUCCUGACUGACCGAUAGUGAACCAGUACCGUGAGGGAAAGGCGAAAAGAACCCCGGCGAGGGGAGUGAAAAAGAACCUGAAACCGUGUACGUACAAGCAGUGGGAGCACGCUUAGGCGUGUGACUGCGUACCUUUUGUAUAAUGGGUCAGCGACUUAUAUUCUGUAGCAAGGUUAACCGAAUAGGGGAGCCGAAGGGAAACCGAGUCUUAACUGGGCGUUAAGUUGCAGGGUAUAGACCCGAAACCCGGUGAUCUAGCCAUGGGCAGGUUGAAGGUUGGGUAACACUAACUGGAGGACCGAACCGACUAAUGUUGAAAAAUUAGCGGAUGACUUGUGGCUGGGGGUGAAAGGCCAAUCAAACCGGGAGAUAGCUGGUUCUCCCCGAAAGCUAUUUAGGUAGCGCCUCGUGAAUUCAUCUCCGGGGGUAGAGCACUGUUUCGGCAAGGGGGUCAUCCCGACUUACCAACCCGAUGCAAACUGCGAAUACCGGAGAAUGUUAUCACGGGAGACACACGGCGGGUGCUAACGUCCGUCGUGAAGAGGGAAACAACCCAGACCGCCAGCUAAGGUCCCAAAGUCAUGGUUAAGUGGGAAACGAUGUGGGAAGGCCCAGACAGCCAGGAUGUUGGCUUAGAAGCAGCCAUCAUUUAAAGAAAGCGUAAUAGCUCACUGGUCGAGUCGGCCUGCGCGGAAGAUGUAACGGGGCUAAACCAUGCACCGAAGCUGCGGCAGCGACGCUUAUGCGUUGUUGGGUAGGGGAGCGUUCUGUAAGCCUGUGAAGGUGUACUGUGAGGUAUGCUGGAGGUAUCAGAAGUGCGAAUGCUGACAUAAGUAACGAUAAAGCGGGUGAAAAGCCCGCUCGCCGGAAGACCAAGGGUUCCUGUCCAACGUUAAUCGGGGCAGGGUGAGUCGACCCCUAAGGCGAGGCCGAAAGGCGUAGUCGAUGGGAAACAGGUUAAUAUUCCUGUACUUGGUGUUACUGCGAAGGGGGGACGGAGAAGGCUAUGUUGGCCGGGCGACGGUUGUCCCGGUUUAAGCGUGUAGGCUGGUUUUCCAGGCAAAUCCGGAAAAUCAAGGCUGAGGCGUGAUGACGAGGCACUACGGUGCUGAAGCAACAAAUGCCCUGCUUCCAGGAAAAGCCUCUAAGCAUCAGGUAACAUCAAAUCGUACCCCAAACCGACACAGGUGGUCAGGUAGAGAAUACCAAGGCGCUUGAGAGAACUCGGGUGAAGGAACUAGGCAAAAUGGUGCCGUAACUUCGGGAGAAGG